Molecule: ribosomal RNA, 601 nt
Filed under: Debaryomyces hansenii
Lineage: Eukaryota; Fungi; Ascomycota; Pichiomycetes; Serinales; Debaryomycetaceae
Description: LSU rRNA
Rfam family: Eukaryotic large subunit ribosomal RNA
Source: RNAcentral
UCAAUAAGCGGAGGAAAAGAAACCAACAGGGAUUGCUUUAGUAACGGCGAGUGAAGCGGCAAAAGCUCAAAUUUGAAAUCUGGCACCUUCGGUGUCCGAGUUGUAAUUUGAAGAAGGUAACUUUGGAGUUGGCUCUUGUCUAUGUUCCUUGGAACAGGACGUCACAGAGGGUGAGAAUCCCGUGCGAUGAGAUGCCCAAUUCUAUGUAAAGUGCUUUCGAAGAGUCGAGUUGUUUGGGAAUGCAGCUCUAAGUGGGUGGUAAAUUCCAUCUAAAGCUAAAUAUUGGCGAGAGACCGAUAGCGAACAAGUACAGUGAUGGAAAGAUGAAAAGAACUUUGAAAAGAGAGUGAAAAAGUACGUGAAAUUGUUGAAAGGGAAGGGCUUGAGAUCAGACUUGGUAUUUUGCGAUCCUUUCCUUCUUGGUUGGGUUCCUCGCAGCUUACUGGGCCAGCAUCGGUUUGGAUGGUAGGAUAAUGACUAAGGAAUGUGGCUCUACUUCGGUGGAGUGUUAUAGCCUUGGUUGAUACUGCCUGUCUAGACCGAGGACUGCGUCUUUUGACUAGGAUGUUGGCAUAAUGAUCUUAAGCCACCCGUCUUGAAA